RNAcentral lists this transfer-messenger RNA (379 nucleotides) under Methylobrevis albus. Its description in RNAcentral is "Alphaproteobacteria transfer-messenger RNA". It matches the Rfam family "Alphaproteobacteria transfer-messenger RNA". Rfam says of the family: Bacterial tmRNA, also known as 10Sa RNA or SsrA, is named for its dual tRNA and mRNA-like properties. Its role is to liberate the mRNA from a stalled ribosome. The record is from Rfam by way of RNAcentral. Lineage: Bacteria; Pseudomonadati; Pseudomonadota; Alphaproteobacteria; Hyphomicrobiales; Pleomorphomonadaceae.
CCCUUUGCAUUGCCGCCCGCGCCCCCCUAUAUUCCCGGUGCCGGCGCAAGCCGGCUAUGGCGAUAAAUGGGCGACGCAAUAAACCUUUCGGACCCGGGGGCGGUACCCGGCGCCUCCACCCGAGCCCGCGGCCUGAUCGACAUGAUCAGACAUUCGGCCGCGGGCUCCGGCGGGGGCGAAAUAGCUUCGACGAGGGCGUAAAGGUCUUUCUUUCGCUCGGCAUGGUUCCGCCGUUAUCGGGCCGAAACUAUAGUUGCCAAUGACAACUAUGCUCCGGUUGCUGUCGCCGCGUAAUGCGGUGCUGGUAAUCGAAAUCAAGUCCUGAGGGGUAGCACUUUCAGGCGGGGUUCGGAGGUACCUGGCAACAGAAACCUCCACU